This is a long non-coding RNA of Canis lupus familiaris (dog), 1549 nucleotides long. RefSeq lists it as uncharacterized. The record is from RefSeq and is a predicted model, not a curated record. The transcript has 2 exons. Lineage: Eukaryota; Metazoa; Chordata; Mammalia; Carnivora; Canidae.
UCGUCCGGCUUCGUGCCGCCCGGGCUCUCUGGUGGACCGCUGCCCUCCGCGGCGCUCAGCCCGGCUUCGCCGCCUAGCACACUUGCCGUCCCCCCGGGGCGCGUGCUCCCGGGCCCCUCCCCGCUCCCCCUGCUUCCCCCGCCUGCCUGCUGCAUCCUUGCCCAGCCCGCCUGCGCCAGCCCAGCCCCUGCUCCCUCCCUGGUGCACCGAAUCAGGAAAAGUUGUCGGAAAGUAGUGAAAGGGAAACCUCCCUAACGUGGACCGCUCGCCUGCCAGUUAGAGGAAGGACUGAUUAGAGACCCCAACGGGAGAAGCUUCCAGAAGAAGGAAGCAACAGGCCCCAACGGGACAAGAUGUUGGUGGUGUCCUUGAGCAACCCCUGCAAACCGGGCCAAUGAGAAACCCUCAUCACCCUGAACCUUGCUUUUCUGCAACUAUCCCUUCAAAGCAGCCUCCUUCUAGCUGAAAUAAUGGGGUCCUCCCGUUUGUUGGACUUGCCUAGGGUCUUGCCGUAGCUUGCAGGUCCUGAAUUGCAGUGCCUUGCCAUUCCCGAGGAAAUGCAUUGGGCUGACAACAUAACUUGCUGUUUUAUCUUCCAGGUCAAUCAAGUUUUUUGAGUUUUUUUGUUGUUGUUUUGUUUUAAGAUUUAUUUGUUUGAGAGAAACCACAGCAUGAAAGCAUGGGGAGGGGCAGAAGGAGAGAGAGAGAGAGAGAGAGAGAAUCCUCAAGCAGAUGCCCCACUGAGCUUAAGAAGAACUGGGGGCUUAUCCCAGGACCCUGAGAGCUGAAAUCAAGGAUUGGACGCUUAACAGCCUGAGCCACCCAGGUGCCCCAAGGUCAGUCAAGCUUUAGACGGAAGAAAUUUUAAGCUACCCAAACAAAUUUUAAGCAACCCAACAAAUGAGGUUGCAUUUGUUCCUUAACACUCCCAGGAUGGAGAGCUCAUUCUGUUGCCAUGCAGCCUUUUCCAAAAUUGAGCAACCCUAAUCACCAGAAAAUUUCUUAAGCCAAGGAUGUUGUCGCAAAGACCAGAUAUUAUGGAAAAUAGUACAAGCUGAGGAUACCCAGGACUCAUAAUCAGCAAACCCAAAGGAGAUCUGUGAAGGCUCAAGUCUGAUUAAACUUUAAGAAGUGAGGACCUUUGCAAGAAACUGUCAGACUUUCUAGAUAAUGAUCCUUUCACCACUGAUCACAUCAAAAAGGCACUUGCCAACAAAGGCUCGGCCCUAUGGAUCUCUGAACAGAGAUUCUCCAUGGCUUGAACAUAACAAGCAGCACAUGCCAAGGGGCUCGCUCUGACUGGAGUGAGUCCUUAUCUCAACUGCACACUCCCAGACAGACUUUGAUUUUGGUUCAUUAACUUCCUACCCCUUAUUGUAGCUUGUUUGUUGGGUGACUUUGUUGUCUUAGCUUUGCUUAGGUAUGAUAUAUGGGAAGCUAAGGUAAACAUGUGGCAAAAAGUCAUUGAGUUUGAAAUCCUGAAACUGCUUUACAAUUAUGUCAACCUUGCUUUAUGACUAAAUAAAGCUGACACUGUGGAAAGACAGGA